This is an RNA transcript of Myotis lucifugus (little brown bat), 1555 nucleotides long. It is a transcript of the gene named zinc finger and BTB domain containing 8 opposite strand, with no coding region annotated. The record is from RefSeq and is a predicted model, not a curated record. Lineage: Eukaryota; Metazoa; Chordata; Mammalia; Chiroptera; Vespertilionidae. The transcript has 8 exons.
GGGGGCAGCCAUUUUCUUAAAGGCUGUUAAGCUAACGACCCCUUCAAAGUACUCAGAUGAGAAACCUCGGGUUCUUUCCGGUCUAGUAGUUAUCAACCGCGGUAGCAAUAAAAGGCUUCUAUCACUGAGACCUAGAAGUGUCUAAUUCAAGUGUCGCUUGCUCCGCAGGUCCUCCACUUUAGUUGUUUCCUUAGUCCUUAGAACCAUGGAUGGCGCAAGCCCAGAAAACGGGCCUUGACUUUUUAAAAGAUGUGCUCCGAAGGACGAGGCCUAAAUCGGAAGCCUUAGGAUAAAACAAGUCCCUGAGAAGUCCUGGCGCUUUAAGGGUGCGUGCCAACGGGGCGGAGUCUAGAGCGGAAGUUAUAAAUCAGGACCGAAGUCCUGCUGAUGAAAGGCGGAAGUGGAAUGUCCGAGGCUGCAGUCAUGGCGCAGGAAGAGGAAGAUAUUCGGGACUACAAUUUGAAUGCGAAGCAGAAGGCCACCAAGGCCAAGUAUCCUCCAGUCAAUCGGAAGUACGAGUAUUUGGAUCAUACAGCAGAUGUCCAGUUACAUGCAUGGGGAGAUACUCUGGAGGAAGCUUUCGAGCAAUGUGCAAUGGCCAUGUUUGGUUACAUGACAGAUACUGACACGGUGGAGCCCCUCCAAGCAAUAGAAGUAGAAACACAAGGAGAUGAUUUGCAGUCUCUUCUGUUUCACUUUUUGGAUGAGUGGCUUUAUAAGUUCAGUGCUGAGGAGUUCUUCAUACCUCGGGAAGUAAAAGUACUUAGUCUUGAUCAAGUAAAUUUCAAAUUACGGUCAAUUGGGUGGGGGGAAGAAUUCUCAUUGUCCAAGCAUCCUCAGGGAACUGAAGUCAAGGCAAUAACAUACUCAGCCAUGCAGGUCUAUACUGAAGAGAAGCCAGAAGUGUUUGUGAUCAUUGACAUUUAAGAUCAAGAAAAAAACUCCUAUGAAGAACUGUUUUUUUCUCAUCCUUUUGAGAAGAUACCAUAAUAUAAAUUCUACAGUCUCUGACAAUAUGAUGGUUUGGGUUUGCAGAACAGGAAUUUUUGACUUAAAGUAUGACUUUCCCACAAAUGGAAAAUCAAGGCAUCGUCUUGGUGCCUCACAUCCUUCCAAUGGAAUGCCAGCCCUCCAGCCUGGUCCCAAAAGGGAUCAUUGGUGUAAACAUCAGCCAGAGAGACUCUGAAGCCUCCACACUCUUAUUGAAUCCAAUUUGGGAGAAAAAAUGAUAAUUUGAGAAAUUUUACAAUCAAGAUUUUGCUUUCCCUCCAAAUUGGUUAAGACAUAUAUUUUCUAUAUGAAUAUUAAGAGGUUGUAUUUUAGAUUGCUGUAGGACAGAGCCAUCCUGUAUUCUAGUUGGUUAUCUUAGAAGAAAUAAUUAUAAUUGAAUAAUUGGGAGACUUCUCUAGAAAGAGCCUGAUUUUCUAUCUCACUUUUUUUUAAACACUGAUAUACUGACACGUUCUUGUUUUUCCACAAGAAAAAUUUAAUGCCCUUAAAAAUGGGCCCUUCUAUCAUGUAAUUUUAUAUUAAAGCCAGUAUACUUAUACAGUUA